CAGCCGAGGCGGGCGGGGCAAAGCCCGCGGGGCGGCCAUGACGGAAACUUGCCCGCGCGCCGCGCCGUGACAGCGGCAGGGGCUCGGCCCGCCGGCACCAUGCAGGCGGCGGCAGCGGAGGAGGAGGAGGAGGCGGCGGCGGUGCGGCGGAGGAAGCUGGAGGCCGGCAGAGCCAAGUUUGCUUACUUCAGACAACGAAAAACAAAAGGUGACAUCGCGCAGUCGCAGAAAAAGACGGCGAAGAGGAAGGGCUCGUCUGUCCACACGUAUGACGUUCCGCAGGAAGAGCACGCACUAGUGGCCCAAGGCUGUGACUCUCCAGAUGUUGGUAAUAGUAUAGAGAAUAAGGCUGCAGACACCAACCUCCUAGAGACAACAACAGAAACAGAGAGGAGUGCUGAUAUGUCCAUCCAUGAUGCAGUGAAUGAUCAUGCUGCUGAAAAAGUUACAAUAAAUUCUGCACCAGAAUGCAGUGAGCUUGAUGCUAAGAUGUGUCAAACUAAAAUAGCUGAGUUAGAGAACAGGCUUCUGGAGAAACAGGAAGCAGUUGAAAGGCUCACUGCACAAAUGGAUGAACUACAGGAACAGCUUACCCAGCAGAGAGACUCUAUGCAGCUCCAGGAAACAACUGUUCGAGAGCAAAAUGAAGUCAUAAGGAAACUAACAAGCUGCCUUCAACAGGCAAAGAAGGAUCAAAAUGACCUACAAGAAGAGGCUUCACAUGUAGCUGAGCAGAUCCAUGACUUACAACUUCAGUUACAUCAGGUUAAUGAGAUGCUAAAGAGUAAAAGCCCUGGGAAGAAAGAGGUAUUAGAAGCCCAGCAGCAGAUGUCCUUGUUUCAAAACCACCUUAAAGAACAAAAUGUACACUUGGAGAUGCUGUGUCAGAGAGCACAGGACCUAGAGGCACAGCUUGAGUCUUCUCAGAAGAAUACCAAAGAUAAGGAAAAUCUGCUUGCUCUAAUGGAAGAGGGUAUGAAAGAUACAAUGCAGCAGCUAUAUGAAAGCAUGGGAGAAAAAGAACAACACAUUAAAAAUCUUCAGGAUCCACUAACAUCAGAAAGAUUUAACUUGUCUGUAUUACAACAUACUCUUUCUCUCCGGGACUCAGAAAUAACAGAAUUAAAAAAUGAAAUAAUGUUAUUAAAAAUGAAAGAACAGCAAUGUACUGAAGAACUGAAAAUGCAUCAUGAAAAGGAUAUUUGCAGACAGUUGGAGAACUUGAGGGCUGAGCUAGAGAAAUGCCACAGAAAAGAGAUGGCAGAAACCAAGCAGUCAUAUGAAGAACAAAUGAUUUUAAAAUAUAAAAAUGACCUUGAACAGUUAAAAAAAGAACUCUCUGCUCUGAAUUCUGAAGAACACAUUCAGAAUUUGAACAGCAUAAUAAUUGACUUAAAUAACAGUCUUCAUGAGUCUGAAAUUCAUAAAGAAAAUCUGAGGAAGAAACUUGAAAACCAGCAGGAAAAAUUCCAGAGAGAGAAGACUGAAACUGAGGUUCAAUACAAAAUGUUAAUUGAUAUUCUUAAGUCUCGUCUUUCUGAGGCGGAAGAGCAGGUCAAGGAAGCCCAGCAAUAUAAACUAGAAAAACAGCACUUGAAUGAAGAGAUUCAGGAACUGGAUUCACGCACCCAGGAAUUACAUAAAAAGCAUUUUUUUGAGGCUGGAAACAGUGCAGAUGCAAGGCAAGAGUAUAAUGAAGAGAUUGUCUCCAAUAAAAACCUGAUGUUGAAGGAAAAACACAUUUUACCAGAUGCUUCACUCUCUACAGCUCCAAUACCUGAAGAGAUACUGAAUAAAUCAUGUCAGUUCAAAGGUGAAGAAGAGUUUGUUCCUGAAGAACUAGAGUUCCAGUGUGAACUGGAAGUAGACUCAUCAAGAGGUGAAUCAAAAGAAAUAAUGAGUUCAAGGAUCGAAGAAAAUGAAAGUAAUGCAGGAGUUUACCUGUCUGAAGAACAAUUGUCAGAACCUGGGUUUUUCACUGAUGAAGACAUGUUGGCUAAAUAUCUCGUCUCUACAGAAAUACCAGAGCAGUCAUAUGUGUCAUACAGUUCUGAAGGUUAUGCCAUUGAAGAAGAUAGAUGCAGUAGGUUAGCCAGUAGUAGAUCAGACAGUAAUGUGCUUUUAGAACCCAGCAUGGAUUUUAAACCUCCUCUAUUAAACUUUGGUCUUGAUGAAAAAACAUGUCAUAGGAGUUUGGCUCAAGAGACUUUUGAAAAAACAGAGGUGGAAGUAGAGGACUUCAUUUCAUUUUUGCCAGUUGGCUCCCUGCAGCAAGACAAACUAAGUAACUGUGAUGUUGUAAAGGAUGAUGAGAGUGCUUCACACAUCUGUCUACUAAACAAGCUAACCAAACAGCUUCAUGAAAAGGAGUCAGCCUUGAAAAAAUCUCAUCGGGAGAUCCAAGAAGCUGCUGGAAAAUGGAAAAAAGUAAUAGCUGAGCUCUCUCUUAUGCAUGUGGAACUGAAUAAAGAACGUGAAGCACGGGUCUGUUGUGAAAAGCAACUUCUUCAGAAAACAGAGAAGGAGAAAGAACUUGAAAACAAAAUAAGCCACUUAAUAAAUCAGCAGGGCGAGAAUGGAGGCCAACCUUACCAUGCUGUGGAGCUUUUAACACAAACAUCAAAAUCCUCUACCUGGCAACAAAUCCUGAGAGACCUCCAGGAAGAAAGAGAAAUGUUGAUGGUGCAGCUGCGAACUCAGGAACAAUUAGUCAAAGAAGUACAAGAGCAGAAAACAGCUUCUGAUUCUGUAACAAGUGAAGUACAGUCUCUUUUUGGACGUCAAUUGGCUGUUCUGCAAAGUCAAAGGGAUCAAAUGCAGACCCAGCUUGAUGCUCAGAAGGCUAAAAAUCUGACAAUAACAGAGCUGCUUGGUCAGAAAGCUGUACUUGAAGAGUCAUUGCUAAAAGAACAGGAUCUGCUCAAAGCUGAAAUCAGUAACAAAGAACAAAAUUUAGCGCUCUUAUUGAAGGAAAAAACAGUGUUGGCUGAGAGAUUAUCAUCUAUGGAGAAAGAUCUAAUAAAAGCAGAGAAUGCUUCAGCAGCAAAUGCUAAUGUUAUAGCAGAUCUUGAGAAAAACAUACAUGAACUUAAUACUGAAGUGCAAAACCUCAAAGAGGUACGGGAGCGUGAAAGAUUGGGAUAUGAGGACAAGUUGAACUUGAAUAAUGCAGAAAUUAAUAAACUUAAUGCUGAAAUAGAGGCAAAAAGUACUGAAUACAAUGUGAAAGAAAGCCAGCUAAUUGAAGAAAUAGCUCAUUUGAAGAAGGUUCAGAGGGAGCUUGAAUAUCGCUUGCAGGAGUCCUUUCAGUCUGCACAAGCUGUGCAGGAGGCACAAUCUGAGAUGGUGAGACAUUACAAAGAGGAAAUUGAUAAAAUGGAGUCUCAGCACCUUGUGGAAUUAACUAAAGUGAGUUUGACACACAAGAAGGAGAUAGAAGAAUUAAAUAAUGAAAUAAAAGAUAAAGUUGAAAAGCAGCAGAAGUUGGAGGAAGAAAGAAAAGAACAGCUUGCUUUAAUAAAAAAGGUACAUGAACGAGAGCAUGAACGUGAAAUCUCUGAACUAAUUACUAAGCAUGAAGAGGAAAUGGAGGAGCUCCGUGCUUCAUUAAAUAGAGAACAGCAACACCUGUUGGAUGAACUUCAGCAACAAAUGGCAGCCACACACAAAGCAGAGAUUGAGCAAGCCCAGCUCCAGUCACAGACACUGCACAGUCUUGAAUUGGAAGCUUUACGCCUAAGCUUAAAUAAUAUGCACACCUCUCAGCUUGAGCUUACUCAGUCUAACUUGAGAAAAGAAAAGGAAACUGCACUUGUGGAGCUACGGGAGAUGCUCAAUGAUAAGCGUGCUCAGGAAGUAGCAAUUCUACAAAGCCGACAUCAGCUGGAGUGGGAGAAGAUUAAAGAACAGUGCUUGAAGGAAAAAGAAGACCUUAAGUCAAAGUAUCAGCAAGAACUAGUUGAUCAAAGAAAGAAAAUAGAAAUGGAAAUGGAAGAGAAACAUAUCCAGAUAUUAGAGACUAUCAAAAGAGACUGGGAAUUAGAGUCUGAGGUGCGUUUAGAAAACGUGUGUGAAGAGCUCUCUGAAAAACAUCAGACUGAAAUGGCAGAACUGCAGAAAACUCUGGAAAUGGAAUUAGAAAAGGUCAAAGCAGAGCUGGGGCUUCUUUCUCUUGAGAAGGAACAGUCUGAAUUAAAAUGUAUAGAUCUUGAGAAACAACACCAGUUGGCCAUCACAAAGUUACAUGAACAGCUGCAGACUGAACAUAACCAACUCCUAGAAGAUAUAAAGAUGAAAAGCCAAGAAAAAGAACAGAAUCUUCAGAAGGAGCUGGAAAAACUUCGUAUCAUGCAUGAGGAAUUCAAGACUCAGUCACAAGAAGAAGUCAGGCAGCUUUGGUCUCAACUUGACAGUACCCGAGCAAAUCGGCAGGAAUUGAGUGAUGGUGAGUCCAAGAUGGAAGCCCAUGUUCCAGGUGAGGAAUUAAGAGAGCAGCUCCUGGCUCGUGCAUCACGGGUGGAAGAAAUAGAGCAUUUAAAACAAGAAUUUGAACAGCAGCGUCAGCAAAGAAAAAGUGAGCAUGAGACUGAAUUAGAACAGUUGAGACUUUACUUUGAACAAAAGUUAAGAGUUGCUGAAGAAAACUAUAGAGAAGAGUUGACUUUCUUGCAACAGAGACUGGAAGAACUGAAAGAAUAUUCCUUGUCAGAGGAGGCAGUCAUGAGCCAGGAUCAAUCAGGGGGUGUCAGUUCUGUCACAGUUUUUGGAGAGACUGCUGAGAAAGAGAGGAGAGAUCUUUAUCUUCAUCAGCUAAAUCAACAGGUGGAGCAGCAUAAGGAGGAACUUGCCUAUUUGCAGGUACAGCUUAAAGAACAGCACAAACAUGAAUUAGAUUCCUUAAGGUCUUCCCUUGCACUUCAAUAUAAAGAGGACCUAAUGAAAAUGAAGAAGGAUCUGUCAGGCAAAUAUAUAGUAGAAAUAGAGGAAAUGAAAAGAAAGCAUUGUUUGGAACUUGAGCAGCUCCGUGCUAGGCUUUCAGACGAACAUAUCAAAGAAAUCACCAAAUUACGCCUACAGAGUGCUCAAGAUGCAGCACGUCAAGUUGAAAUGGAGGUGGCCACACGAGUGUCUGCGCUGGAGGAAGAGCACAAAGUCAAGCUUUCUCUCUUCCACUCUGAGAAACAGUAUAUUGCAGAGCUUUCAGAUGAAAUAAAGUGUUUAAAGGAAGAGAUUGCUAAACAAAAAGAUUUUUCAGUGCAGAAUGAAAAGCAUCUGAAAAGGGAAAUGGAACAGGUAAAAUAUAAAAUUGCUGAGAAUCACAAGAAUGAAUUAAGGGAAGCCAGAGAAGAAAUCCAGAAGAUAGAGACUACGUACAAAGAAAAAGAGAAGAAAUGGAAACAUGAAAGUGAGGACCAGAGAAUCCAAGCAGAAGAGAAAUUGUCAUUGUUGCGUAUAGAACUGCAAAAUAGAUUAGAAUGUGAGAAACAGAAUUUGCAAAAGGAAUUUGAAGUUCGUGAAGCAGAAAUGAAUCGGCUCCAAGAUUACCAAGCUGCCAGAAUUGUAGAAUUAGAAAAGUUAGUAAAAGAGCAGCAAAACAACUUGCAACAACUAGAGGACAGCCUUGCAAGUGCACAGGCUACACAGAAAUCACAGGAACAAUAUGAGAGUGAUCUGCAGGCAGCCAGAGUGCUCAUGGAAGAAGAAAUGGAAAAGGCCAUGCUUUGUCUACAGGAAGAAUGUGCACUGAAACUUAUGGAAGCACAAAACAAAUUUAUGGAGGAACACAAAACUAUGACUCAGAAAUUCACUACUGAGCAAGAGAUUCUUCUCCAAGAGCUGAAGAAGAAACAUGUUGAUGAGCUAGAACUCCAAAGUCAGCAGUUACAGGAAAAGCAUAAGCAGCAAAUUUCAUCUCUUACAACUGAGUUUCAGACAAAGCACCAAGCUGAAAUUGAGAUGCUUAAAUCUACAUUAGAAAGUAAACAUCAGAUUCAGAUUGAAGCUUCUGUUGCUGAAAUGCAGAAAAAACAUCAAGCACAAAUUGAUGAACUGGAGGCUAAACACUUAUCAAACCUGGAUUCCUUGGAGUCAUCCUACCUGUCAGAAAUUCAGAAUAUAAGAGAUGAACAUAGGCAGGUUCUUGAGAAGCUACAGCUGCAUCACACAGAACAGUUCCGUGAAAAGGACAAAAUGGAUCAAGCGCACUUGGCUCAAGAGAUAGAGAUGUUGAAACUAAAGUAUGCUGAGGAACUUCAGCUUGCACAGAACAAUUUAAAAAUUGAGCUAGCUACUGUGCAUAUGGAAAAACUUAAAAUUAUGGCUGUGGAAGCAGAAGAAUUUCAUAAGAAUGAUUUGAAAACAGCUCUUCAAAAUCAAAGAUGUUUGUUGGAAGAAGAAAAAGAUCUAGCCCUGGAUAUAUUACGUGAGGAAGUAGUGCGUAUGGAAGAAAAACAUAGAAAGGCACUACAAGAACUACAGGAUCUUCACGAGACAGAAAUUAAGAAACAUAAGGAGGAAUACUCCAGGGAGUUGGAGAAAGAACUGGGGAAACUAAAAGCACAGCAUGAACGUGAACAAGAGAUAUAUGCUUCUGCCUCGGCCUCCGAAGUAGAAAAUGUGAGGACAGCUCUUCUGUCUCAGUUUGAGGAAGUAAAAAUGAAGCAACAGCUUCAGUUCCAGGAAGAGAUUGAGCUGCUGAAGUGUCAGUCAGAAGUACUACUUGAGCAGCAAAUUGCACAGCUGAAGGAGGAAUUUGAAGCUGAAAAAACAGCAUCACUACAUGAGAAGGUGCAGGUGUUAACUCAGGAGAGGGAGAAGGCACUGGCUGUUUCCCAAAAGGAGAAGGAGACGUUAUCAGCACAGCUGCAGGAAAAAGCAGCAAGAAUUAUCCAGCUGGAAAAGGAAGUUGAAUCUUUAAAUCAUAAGAUAGAGGAGACCCACUGUGAGCUGGAGACACUUCUACAGCAGCGGGACAGAGAGAACCAAGAAGGAGGGAAUUUAAUAGUCAUGUUGAGGUCUGAUAUUGAGCAGUCCAAGGAUGAAAGGAAAAAAAUGCAGGAAUCUUACCAGCAUAUUUUGAAAUUGCUUAUGGAGUUGGUGAAGGCUACACUAGCUAUUGAGGACCUUAUCUGUAGCAAGAUUGGUCUUUGCCUUGAUGACAGUUUGGCUUCUGGAGAUUCUAGGGAAAGUCACAGUAUUAUGGAAGAAAUGGGAUUUGCACAAUAUCUUAAAACCAAAGAGAAGCAUCACCUAGAAAAAUUAGAUGAACAGCUUGAUGAAACUCUCACAGAACACAACGAGCUGUCUCCAGUGACUGAAGAGGGGUCUGAGUUGAGCCAAUACUUAUGUGAAAGUGUUUUUGUGAAGCCAGAAAUGGCAUGUGAAAAUGAAGAAAUGAUAAUGAAAAUUAGUCAUCGUUUGCGCACUGCAGUGGAAAAACUUUUGGAACUUGUUGCAGAAUCAACUAAAGAACUGGAGAAAAGGCAUGAAAUCCAUGCACAAUUUGAAGAUGAAUUCAGCCGCCAAAAUCAGGAGACUGCUCAAGUGGUUAGUCAGCACCAAGAGCUAAUGGAGUGCCUAACCGAGGAAAGUGAGGCCAAGAAUCAGCUGGCACUAGAACUUCAUAAAGCAGAGGGCAUCAUUGAAGGCUACGUUGCAGAAAAAGCCGCAUUGGAGGAGGCUUUGAAUCUGAAAGAAGAAUCUGAGCGUCGCCUUGUUGUGGAGCUGGAGAAUAUGCGUGAACGCUUCCAGGAGCUAACCCAGGAGCAGGCAAUUCUUGGUCUACUCAAGGAAUUAGAACUUUUAGCAAAGGAGAAAUUAGAGCUUCAGUGUCAGGCAGAGAAGGACCAUUCCAACUUACGCUCUCAAAUGAAAGUUUUGGAGGUAGAACUAGAAGAACAGCUGCAUAGUAAUCAAGACCUGGCUAAGCAGUUAUUGGAGGUUGCUGAAUUAAAACAGCAAAUUCAAGUCCUUGAAAAACAGCUUAAAAAACAGCGGCAAUUCAUGGAUGAACAAGCUAUAGAAAGGGAACAUGAACGUGAUGAUUUUCAGCAAGAAAUUCAGAAGCUGGAAGAACAGUUAAAACUUUCAGCAAAAUUGCAGACUUCUGGAGAGCUGAGAAAGUAUGGGAACUAUGAAUUGAUUCUACAGGUAGACUCUCUGCAAGCAGAAAUAAAAGAGAAAAUGGAUGAUUACAAUAAGCUGUUAUUAGAAAAGGAGGAAAAGCAUCAAGAAAUCAUAGCUCGUGAUAAAGAGAUAGAAAAACUGCUGGCACAAGUACAAGAACUGGAGCAGAACAGUACUGAAGUCUCAAAGACUGUUAACUGCUUGGAGCAACAACUACAGAAAAUGAAGAAAGUAGAAACCGAAUUAAAACAGGAUAAAGAAGCAUUGCAACAGCAGCAGUACAAUAACCUUAUUCAGAUCUCUGCCCUACAAUCUAAAUUGGAUGAAGCAAGGCACAGAGUACCCACAGAAGGCACUUCUGACCAAGGGCUGAAGGAACAGUUACAGGCAGAACAGGAAGCACUUGAGAGGAAAGAGGGAGAGAUUGCAAGCUUGUUAGAGCAACUAGAUCAAUAUAAAGAUAAAUUGACCAGUAAAAAUGAGGAGAUAUUGCAGCUGAACUUGCAGCUAGAGGUGCAAAAAAAUCUUAGCACCUCCAGCAUCAGUCAACUUCAGCUAGAGAAUGCAUACUUGAAGGAGGAUCUAACAAAACUUCACGUAAAGCAAAAUCAUGACUUAGGUGUUAGCGAUACUUCAGCUCUGUCAUUCCCACAAGCACUACUUAAAGAAAAGAAUCAAGAAAUUGAUCAUUUGAAUGAACAAAUGAAAAGACUCAAGCAUGAGCUAGAGAACACUCUGGAGAAUACGGUUGUGGAAAACCAAAAAUCUGAAAUCGAAGAACUCAGAUCUCUUAUUGAGCACCUUCGUAGUGACCAGGAACGGCUGCGUAAGGACAAGGAUGAAGAGGCAGAGCAACUUCAUGGAGUAAUUGAGAAGCUUCAAAAAGAGUUGGCACAGUUUGGACCAGUAUGCCAUGAAGUUAGUGACAACCAAAGUGAUCUUUAUCAACUUGGAUUGGAAAAAUCAGUGGAAGACCUUCAGAAUGAAUUGAAGGGAUUGACAGGUUGUCAGGGUGAUACUGAUCUGGACAGAAGAAAUGCGUUACUAAUCACCAAUGUGAGAGAACUUCAGGAAAAGCUAGAGCUUGUCUCAACUGCUAGAGAAGCUCUGCAGCAGCAAUUGGAAGACAAAGAAUCACAGUUGAAAAUGGAAGUAGAAAUUUUAGAGAGAAAAUGCCAAAAUGCACAGGAGUCAUCAAAGCAACACUUUGCAGAACUAACCUCUCUAAGAAUACAGUACAGUGCACUUCAGGAAGAAUACAGCCUUUUCCAAAAACGUGCAUCUCAGAGAGAGGUUGAAGCAAGAAUUACUACUUCUCGCAUUCAAGAACUUGAAGAAACUCUGAAAGAGAGGGAAGCAAGUAUUCUAGAAAAAGAUACACAGAUGAAGAUAAUGGCAGAUCAAAGAGAAGCUGACAAAAAUGAGUUGCAAUACUUAACAAAACAAGCAGCAGAACUUGAAACUGAGUUGAAAAAGAAAGAUGCAAAUCAGGCUCAAGAUGUUUACAGUCUUCAGUUAGAAGUUUCUAGACUUGAUUUUCAGGUGCAAACACUGAAUCAGAAAGAAGCAGCUAAUCAGAGAGAAAUCAAUGAACUGCGAGGUAGCACUGCAAAAUUGAAAGAUCAGAUCAAGGCAUACGUGAAAGAGCUUGAAGCCUUACAAUUGGAAAGAGAUGAACUUAUUUCACAGUUGAAGUUGUUCAAGUCAAAGGAGCAAUGUAAUAAUGAAGAGGCUAACUUUCUCAAGGUGUCCUGCCAAGGAGGAAGAAAAGAUGAAGCGCUUAAAAAAGGAAUGGAGGAGUUGGAAGGAGUGGAAGUUUAUGUUGAUCAGUCACUUCCAGUUUUGCUUUCCCCAGUUGAUAUACUGGAAAAAGAUGAAGUUAUGUUUGACUCUGUGACUCACAACACAAAUAUAAAAUCUCAAAUUAAACAAUCACAGGAAGAUAUCUCAGCUCAGGAAAUGGACAUGAUGAACAGCUCUGAAGAGCAGAAAAAUUUGAAAAAGCAUUGCCAACUAACAUUGAAAAAUGAUCGAAGUCCUGAUUCUCCAAAAAACAAUUUGAACAUCUGCUAUACUAAAGAUACUCUGAAAGAUUUCCAGGAUUUCAUUGUGGAUAUGGCUUCAUGGGGUUCACCUGAGAUUGUGAGGAAGGAGGAUACAAGCGUGGAACUUGAACCAGUGCUUCAUGUGACACCCUUUUCAGAAGCUGAAAGCACAGAUUUUCAAGUGGUACACGUUAGGUCAUCGCUUCAAGGAGAUAAUUCUCUCUUGAUGGGAUUUUCUAACCUGUAUGAAAAUGGCAGUGAAGAAGCAGUGGUGGAAGUAGAUGUAAAAUCUCCAGUUUUCUCUGAAAGUACCUAUUCUGUUGAUGAUGAUGAACAUGUUAUCGAGAAAAAUAUUUUGCAGAUGAGAGAAGCGGAUAAUCUAACCCCAUCUGAUUUGCAAGAUGACAUAAGAUCAAGAGUCUCUGCCACAGAUGUGAUGAGCAAUGAAUACCACAGCAGUACCAGCUCAAAUUUGGCAGCUAAACUAAAGCAGGAUCUACAGCCAUCAGACCACCUAGAUGCUAGUUUCAUGGCUUACAUGCAGUACCGUGGCAUGUUUUCAGAUGUUAUGGAAUCAAUGAGAGAGAAGGAAUUAUUUUCACCGCAGCUGAAGACUGUGCUGAAGAUGGUAUAUGAGGAGAGCUGCAAAAUAUUGGCUUUGUCAGAACAUUCCUUUGGUUUUAAGGAGCAGAAAAAUGUUCAUCAGACCACAGCAAUGAUGGAGGGAUGGCAGAAGGAGGGCUUCGCCUUGUUGGAUGCUAUACAGUCACUGAAAGAUUAUCUUAGCAAUGUGGCAGAUAGAGGAAACAAGGAACAUUCAGAUAUUGCUGCUGACUGGAGAGCAGAAUUUCUCCAAGCAGUACAGAGUGUGUUUGAGAAGGAGAGAAAUGUGUUGCAAAUUGACUUGAAGUCUCACUUCUCCAAUCCUGGGUGGGGCGAUGAAGUUUCAUUAGCGGAAAGACUAGAGUAUAUCAUGAAACAACAAGAGGAACAGAGGCAGAUGGUUGUAGAACAUCUUUUCUCUUCAGACCGGAAUAGCUUGCUCUCUGAGAUACAGGACCUUCGAGCUCAGCUACGCAUGACACACCUUCAGAACCAGGAGAAGCUGCAGCAGUUACAGGAAACUCUUACAAAUGCAGAAGAUCAUGGGAGCAAACAAGAACACCAGCUUCGGAGGAAAGUUGAAUUAUUAGAAUAUAAACUUCAGCAGGAAAAAUCAAUUGUAAGUGACUUGCACAGCUCAUUGUCUGAGGAGCAGAAGAGAGUCUCUGAAACAAAUGAACUCUUGAAUCAAGAAAAAGCAGCAGCAUCAGCCGUGAAGUUAGAGCUAUAUGAACAUAAGCAAGAGAAUGAAAGGCUACAAAAAUCCCUAGAAGAGCAUCGGAGGGAAAUAAACAAGUUCCGUUUUGAAUUGGAAAAUAAAGAAAAGGAUUUGACAGCCGCUCUCCAAGAAUUGCAAACUGAACGCCUGACAGAAACAGAGCUGCGAGGCUUGUAUGAGGAACAACAGUUUCAGCAUAAGAAAGCAGAAGAUGAAAAUAAAAAGGCCUUGGAGGAUUUGCAGGCUGCCUUGGAGCUGCAGUCAAUGCAGAAUAGCCAGCUGUCUGUAUCCUUAGAGCAUGAGCAAAUGAUAAAUGAUAAUCUCCGCAAGGAACUUCAGAUAGAACAUUCACGCUGUGAAGCGUUGUUGUCUCAAGAACAAAAAAAAGUGUCAGAGCUACAGAGAAAUUUGGAAGCUGAGAAAAAUCGUUCAUUGGAGCUCUUGAAUUCCUUGAAUCAUGAACGUGUUUUGACAGAACAGUUGAGCAUGAGAGCUAAGGAGGACGCUUCUUGUCAGCACAGGGCAUCACUGCUGGAACAAGCCUUUAUCCGAGAGCUUCAAGCCAAGCUGGAAGAAGAGAGGUCCCGAACAACAGAGCUCGUUGCUAUUAUUGACGAAAUACACCAGAAGGCUGUUCAUUCUAAAAGGCAGCUAGAGGCUGAAGUACGGAUGUGUUGUGAAGAAACACAGAAGGAGAGAGAGAUCAGUAACAAACUACAAGCUACAAUGGAGUCUCUUCAGAGUCAAAAGCAAGAGGUAAUCCGCUCCCUAGAGGCCCAGAAGGAACGAGAGGCAAAGCUGAAAGCUGAUUGGGAACAAUUACAGUUAGUCUUUGAGACAAUGCAAGAACAAGAUAACAAGAAAGAGGAGAAAGAGCAAAGGCAGCAGCAGCAACAAACAGAAAUUGAAAAAGAGACGGACAGGCAGAGAGAUCAAAAAAGACUGCAAAAUUUGGAACUGCAACACCAGAGGGAUGAACAAAAAAUUAAAGAGCUGCAAGGAAUACUGGCAGUAUUAGAGUUAAGAGAAAGUCCUUCGUCUUCCAACAAUCAUCAAGAAGUAUCGUGUGCUUUAAACAAAGACCAAAAUGCCAAACAGUGCAUGACAAAAGAAAGUGAAAAACUGAACUUGCAACAGCAGCAACAACAGCUGGAGAAGAUAAGACAGCAGUUGCUUUUUGUAGCUGCAUGUCUGAAUGAGUUCAUAUAUAAAACAGUAGAUAAAACAGUCAAUGAUUGGUCUUCAUCAAAUAAUGAAGCUGUAGCAUCUUUACUGCAGAUGUUAAAGGAACUAAAAUCAGAUUUAUUGUCUCCUCCUGCAUCUCAGAUCAGACCUACAGAUGAUGCUGAUUCUGUUCAACAACUGGAAAGAGAUGCUUGGCAGCAAGAGAGAAGCAUUCUGCAAAAUGCGCUGAAACAGGCAGAGUCUGAACUGGCUAAAGCAACUGCUGAAAUUGAAAACAAACCAGUGGUAGAAACUUCCAGUCCUAAGUUGCAGAAAUUAUAUAGGAAGUACCUAAGAGCAGAGAGCUUUAGAAAGGCUCUAGUUUAUCAGAAGAAAUACCUCUUGCUGCUCCUCGGUGGAUUUCAGGACUGUGAGCAAGCAACCCUGUCUCUAAUAGCACGUAUGGGAAUCUACCCUGCACCUGCAGACCUGCAGCUUUCUGUUUCCCAUUCCCGCCCUUUUACCAAGUUUAGAUCUGCAGUCAGAGCAGUCAUCGCUGUAUCAAGGUUGAAGUUUUUGGUGAAAAAGUGGAACAAACUUAACCGAAAGAGUGCACAGGGUGAAACCAUUCCUCACAGUAUAGGAGGUAAUACAGCCUCUGGUACUAGAACAGAAAUUCUGAAACAGCAGCAGCUCCUAGCUGUUAAUGUCAGCUCUCCCCCAACCCGGGACAGGGGGUUGUGUCACAGAACCAGCUCUGGGAGAUUUUUGAGCCACUCCCCCAGAUCCUCUCACUGGUCACACAACAGGUCAAUUGUCUCCAUCCACAAGUUCAGCUUCGGAAAAGUCAUUUGUGCCUACUCAGGAUCCUGAACGAUCACUAACAGAAUAUAUCCAUCGCUUGGAGGUUAUCCAGCAAAGACUAGGAGGUGUGCAACUAGGAAAAGUUCCAGGCCCACCUCGCCAGAGAAACAUGAAAAAGUGAUCCGAAUGCUUCUGAAAUCUGUACUGCAAAACCUCCUAGUUAUUGAUUCCUUCUGAGUUAUUCCCUAGCGAAUGGAAGCACUUAUCUCUUGUGCAAAUGAAUAAAGGGCAGUGCUUUUGCAUCAGAUUUUUAUAUGACUUUUUAUUAUAUUUUAGUACUUUUAAGAGGAAACUACUUUUCACUAAGAACAAUGUUUUGCAUUGUCAUAUGGAAUUACUACUAAGUUAAUAGCUGAAGUGUGCUGGCAUAACUGUAUUGUCAGUUGUCUGUUUAUUUUUCUAUAGUGUAUAGCUGGAUUCUUUGUUUAAAAAAAAAGUUAUUAAAAUGGCAUUUUAUUAGUGAA
Molecule: RNA transcript, 13982 nt
Organism: Oxyura jamaicensis (ruddy duck)
Lineage: Eukaryota; Metazoa; Chordata; Aves; Anseriformes; Anatidae
Gene: PCNT
Gene name: pericentrin
Exons: 54
Source: RefSeq, a predicted model, not a curated record